GCUGGGUGCAGUGGUGCACACCUGUAAGUCCAGCUACUUGAGGCUGAGGUGGGAGGAUUGCUUGAGCCUAAGAGUUCGAGGCUGUGGUGUCCUGUGAUGGUGCUGGUCCGCAGCUGCUGCACUGUAGCCUAGGCAACAUAGCAAGACCCCAUCUCUA
Molecule: non-coding RNA, 157 nt
Filed under: Papio anubis (olive baboon)
Lineage: Eukaryota; Metazoa; Chordata; Mammalia; Primates; Cercopithecidae
Source: Rfam by way of RNAcentral